GCCGCCGUUGCUGGAGUUCAGCUUAGGGAAGGAGGACUCUGAGGAGGCCCCGAGCGGCGGAGCGCUUCGGGGGAGGCGCCCGCGCAGACGCGAGGCCCAUAGCCAGGACCACCACCUAGCUGUCUGGGGACGACGGUUUAAAAAUUUAUGCCUUGCAUGCGAUGUGCAGUGGGUGAUGGAAGAACGUCUACAUGGCUUUAAAAUUGGAUUUAAAAGGCAAAUAUUUUAAAUGAAGGAAAACCCAAGAAGUUUACUUGAUUCCUUAUCUUCCAGGAUGCGACUUUUGUUUAUUUAUUUAUUUUAUUUUGAUGGAGUCUCGCUGCCGUCGCGCAGGCUGGAGUGCAGUGACGCGAUCUUGACCCGGGAACCUCCACCUCCCGGGUUCAAGCGAUUCUCCUUCCUCAACCACCCGAGUAGCUGGGAUUACAGGCGUGUGCCACCAUGCCCGGCUAAUUUUUGUGUUUUUAGUAGAGACCGGGGAAGGUAUGGGCCCUCUUUUGAGAAAAAUGCAGAGUGACACUGAAUUUUGUAACUACAUCAGGAGGCUCUUGAACCUUCUGCAGCUCACUCGUGGAGUUUGUAGAGAUGCGUAAUAAUCCGAAGUGUUAAGGAAGAAGGUUCUGUUGAGAAAAAGUUGGAGGGCUGAAAGGGAUGCCUUUCGCUAUUUCGACAUGUGUGGCUGUACCCCAGAGUGCCCUGGCUAACACGCAAAACCAUGAAUUAGGCGGCUUGGCGAGGCUCAGUGGAGGCUGGGGCCGAGAGUCAUGUCAAAGUUUGUGGGGUUAACCUGCACCCAGUGACAGUCAUGGCGAAGUUUGUGAGGUUAACUCGCACCCAGUAACGCUGUUCCAAUGCAAGGUGUGUAUUUGGUGUCAUCCACGGGAAGAGGAAACAGCAAAUUUUCUCAUGGCCUUGGCAGUUCCACAUGAUGGACAUUUCAUAUCUGCAGUUUUCUUCGCAUGAGAUGGCUUUUUUGCACAAAAACACUGGAAUCCAGUGAGCAAGAAUGAUAGAAUGCAAGAUGGAUUUCCACAUGAGGAAGUGUCACGAACAAGCGUUUUGCAUCUCUGUCAGCUGGAUUCCCCCAUGUGUACGUAUGUGAGAACAUGCCGUGUUUCCUGUCUGUAAUGGUAGAGGCAGCCCUGAUACUGGAUUUUCACCUGAGGAUGGAUAGAUCUUCAGGGUUCAAGUGGGUUUGCAUCUGGACUUUAGGGUGGCCCUGUAGGCCCUGUGUGAGAAGCCCCCUUCCCAGUGAACUUUCCCUUGUGUGCCCGCGUGGACAGCCAACAGGGGGAGCAGUGCGAGCGUGAAGGCAGACAGUGGCCUGGCCCAGUCUGAUGGGAGAGACCCACCGACCCUGUGGGGCUGGUCCCUACAUCUGGCGCUCUGACGUGGGGCUCUCCCUCGCUGUGUGAAGUUGCACCCUGAGUGCGGGAUCAGCGGAGGAGUUCAACGAGAGAUUCCUGAGGAUUGCAGUCUAUAAACUUGGUGGAAAAGAACUACAGCCUGUGUGGGUCCCCUCCCGACAAUUAAAAUUGCACCAUAACUCCAAAGAUGAAACGCUCCCAGAAAGAAAAGGCAAAGACCCAUCGGAAACAAAAGAGCAACUUUCACCGCCUGAUACAUACACUUCAUGACAUCCACAUUGAGACAAAAUCUCGCCGUGUGACCUACAACACCUCUCGUUCAACCCCACCUACUUGGGGUCGAAUACAGAUUUUAUCUCAUCAAACAGAAAAAUUCUUAACAGAAAAAGGAAUCCCAAAAAUGACUGGUAAUAUAAUUCUGGCUGCCUUUAUGGUAGUCAGUGCAGCGGUAAGUAUACCACCGGUCGGGGCAACUCAAAAUUAUACUUAUUGGGCAUAUGUUCCUUUUCCCCUUCUAAUUCGGUCUGUCUCCUGGAGGGACUCUCCAGUAGAAGUUUACACUAAUAAUAGUGCAUUCAUGCCGAUCCCUAAUGAUGAUCGGUUUCCAGCUCAACCGGAAGAAGAAGGUAUGCACUUUAAUCUGUCAAUUGGCUAUAAAUAUCCACCAUUAUGUAUUGGGAAGUCGCCUGGUUGUUUAGCUUAUUCUUAACAGAAUUGGAUGUGGACUGUACCGUCCUUUACAAAUGAUUCUUAUCAAGUAUAUAAUGUGUUCAGUACUAACUCUUUUCAACUUCUCACUGUCAAACGUACCCCACAUGAGGCAUGGAGAGUUCCUCUCACUACCAAAACUAAUAAAACAAAAGGACUGCCGGACUGUCCAAAGAAACCUACAAAUGGGCCUUUUAUAGUGACUUCAAUUUUAUGGGAUAAUUGUAAUGCUCCCAAGGCUGUUGUACUCCAAACUCUAGCCAUGGGUAUUGUUAUUGAUUGGGCUCCAAAAGGACAUUAUUGGCAAGAUUGCUCCAGCAAAAAUACCUUAUGCUCGGAGUUUAUUUAUUCCUUAGAUUAUAUAGAGCAUGGGUGGCAGUCUUACACGAUGAGACAACGGGUGUCUCCUUACCCAUUUAAAUGGAUGGACACAGGUAUUGCUCCUCCUAGACCAAAAAUUAUUCAUCCCUUUUUUACCCCAGAACAUCCUGAACUAUGGAAAUUAGCUGCAGCUUUGUCGGGAAUAAAGAUAUGGAACACUACCUAUCAGCUCCUUCGUACUAAAACCAAAACACCCACAUUCAACAUCACCCUUAUUUCUGAAUGGGUGAUACCCAUUAGGAGCUGUGUCAAACCCCCUUACAUGCUGUUGGUUGGAAAUAUAAUUAUGAUGCCUGAUGCACAAACUAUAGAAUGUCAUAACUGUAAGCUGUUCACUUGCAUUGAUGCAACUUUUAAUCCCACUACAAGUAUUCUCUUGGUAAGGGCUAGGGAGGGGGUAUGGAUACCAGUUUCUCUACAUCGUCCAUGGGAGUCUUCCCCCUCUAUUCACAUAGUCAAUGAAGUUCUUAAAGACAUCCUCAAAAGAACAAAGAGAUUUAUUUUUACUCUUAUUGCAGUCCUUGCAGGACUACUUGCGGUUACUGCAACAGCAGCAACUGCUGGAGUUGCCAUCCGCAGUUCUGUUCAAACUGCUCACUAUGUUGAAGCAUGCCAGAAAAAUUCCUCCAGACUUUGGAAUUCUCAGGCGCAAAUUGAUCAAAAAUUAGCUAAUCAGAUUAAUGAUCUCCGCCAAAGUGUAACCUGGCUGGGAGAUAGAGUUAUGAACUUGCAACACCGUAUGCAAUUACAGUGUGAUUGGAAUACUUCUGAUUAUUGCAUAACGCCUUAUGCUUAUAAUCAAGAUCAACAUAGCUGGGAAAAUGUCUCAAGACAUUUAAAAGCCUGGGAUGAUAACUUAACCUUGGAUAUUUCACAACUUAAAGAGCAAAUCUUUGAGGCUUCACAAGCCCAUUUAUCCACAGUUCCUGGCUCACACAUUUUUGAAGGCAUAACUAAACAAUUACCUGAUUUUAAUCCCUUCAAAUGGCUCAAACCCGUCAGAGGAUCAUUGUUGUUACUGGCAUUAUUAAUAUUGGUAUGCUUAUGUUGUCUCCUUUUAGUCUGCAGAUGCCUCUAAGGAGUCCGAAACCAAGUCCGAAGUCAACAACAAGCAAUGAUGGCGAUGGCGAUUCUAGUUAAUAAAAAGGGGGGAGAUGUGGGCGGCAAGCCACCCAGGCACCGAGGCAAGAGACAGAGGACACGAGCUGUUCCAGUAUAAUAAAAUAUAAAACAAGAAUAGUUAUACCAGAUAUAGAUCUUAGAUAUGAUUAUAUACGAAUAUCAUUAAUCAUGAGUUUGUAGCAAUUACUUUUUAUUCCAAUAUUAUGAUAAUCCUCGCUCUAUAAUCAUAGCCUAGGAAAAACCAGGCCAUACAGAGAUAGGAGCUGAGGGGACAUAGUGAAGUGUGACCAGAAGACAAGAGUGCGAGCCUUCUGUUAUGCCCGGACAGGGCCACCAGAGGGCUCCUUGGUCUAGCGGUGACGCCAGCGUCUGGGAAGACACCCGUUACCAGGCGGAUCGUGGCCCAGCCGUAGCAAAAGGUGUCAAGGAACACCUUUUGCAAAAGGUGUCAACACCCGCUACUUAGCAGACUGGGAAAGGGGGGCGGUCUCCCUUUCCCCGGGGGAGUUUAGAGAAGACUCUGUUCCUCCACCUCUUGUGGAGGGCCUGACAUCAGUCAGGCUUGCCCGUAGUUAUCCGGAGGCCUAACUGUCUCCCUGUGAUGCUGUGCUUCAGUGGUCACGCUCCUAGUCUGCCUUCAUUUUCCAUCCUGUACACCUGGCUCUGCCUUCUAGAUAGCAGUAGUAAAUUAGUGAAAAUACUAAUAGUCCCUGAUAUGCAGAAAUAAUGGCAUAAGCUGUCUUUCUCUCUGUCUCCUCUCCCUCUCUGCCUCGGCUGCCAGGCAGGGAAGGGCCCCCUGUCCAGUGGACACAUGACCCAUGUGACCUUACCUAUCAUUGGAGGUGACUCACAUUCUUUACCCUGCCCCUUCUGCCUUGUAUCCAAUAACAGCGCAGUCAGACAUUCAGGGCCACUACCGGUCUCCGCACAUUGGUGGUAGUGGUCCCCCGGGCCCAGCUGCCUUUUCUCUUAUCUCGUUGUCUUGUGUCUUUAUUUCUACACUCUCUCAUCGCCACACACAGGGAGAGACCCACCGACCCUGUGGGGCUGGUCCCUACAAGAGGGAAGUGGUUUGUUCUGCUCUUCUGAGAUGUGUUCUUAUGAGAAGGAUCCAGCAGCAGCCUGCAGAGAUGUGGGGCCUGAAAAGAGGCCUUGGGCAGCUCUUCUCAACAGGUCUUGGCCCUCUAGACUGCCUUCAGCACAGUUUUGGGGAGAAACAGGGAGUGUUCCUUUUUCAAUCUAUGCGCUCAUCCCCUGAGCCGCCUGACCCAGGGUUUAGAUGCUCCAGGGCAGCUGAUUGACACCGGUGGGAGAUGGAGUCUGGCAAGCAGGUGAUGAACUGGGAAGCGCUGCAGAAAUGAGGGGGCAAGCGUGGCCAGUCCCUUCUGAGAGGAUGUGUUUGGAAGAGAGUGGGCACUGGCGUGGCACUUUCCCCUUCUGUGGAAAUGGACUUGGACAGGAUGCCACGUAGUGCUGCAGUUCUGUGUGGGGCAGGUUGUGGCUGCAGAGAAGCACUGGGUGCAGAAACAGUCCCCCAAGCAGGUGCGAGGGUCAGGGUGCUCUAUGCUGCUCCACACCUGCCGUGCGAUGACAUGUGGUCACCGGGCUGCCCAGCACAGUUGUUUAGAAAGCAGGUUCAAAGGGCAGUGUGCUGGGAGGAAGUGCUGCUGUGGAAACUGCAAGUUUUGGACAUGAGUUGCUCAGGUCUUUUCAGCCGUUCAUUCUUCUACAACAGAAUUGCAUUAUUCACUUGCUCAGUGUGAUACCAUGUCCUUUAAAAAAUUAUUUGAAUAUUGAGAACAGGUUGUAUGUUCCGUCUCUAGCUGCUAGAUCACAGGCAGGGCACAUCUUCUCAAAGAGUAACAAGGCAUGGGUUGUGUGUGUUCUCUUCUCUUAGUGAGGAGAAAGGCCUGUUUGGGUUCAUGAUGAUUGUUGGGGUCUCUUUUCUGUACCUGAUGUUGGUUGCACAAAGUCCGUUUCCAUUCUCUUAGUCUAGACAAUUUUCCUGAUAUUUAAACUGGAAUUUUUGCUCCAAGAAAUUCCAGGUCAUUUAGAAUGUGUUAAGAUUGAGUUUCUGGGCUACACAUCCUUAUAAGAGCACCCGAUUCUGGUUUCUGUUUAUUUAUUUAUUUUUUCGAGACAGUCUCGUUCUGUCACGCAGGCUGGAGUACAGUGGCAUGAUUUUGGCUCACUGCAACCUCUGCCUCAUGGGUUCAAGUGAUUCUCGUGCUUCAGGCUCCCAAGUAGCUGGGAUUACAGGUGCG
Molecule: long non-coding RNA, 5842 nt
Filed under: Homo sapiens (human)
Lineage: Eukaryota; Metazoa; Chordata; Mammalia; Primates; Hominidae
Description: non-protein coding lnc-PRSS27-4:17
Source: RNAcentral